UUAUUCUGAAACCAUCAGAUGUCAUAGAAGACAAAAGAGAAGCAAUUAUGUCCUGUUUGAUCUCGGAAACUAAGCAGGGUUGGGUCUGGUUAGUACUUGGAUGGGAGACCACCUAGGAAGACCAGGU
RNAcentral lists this ribosomal RNA (127 nucleotides) under Pteropus vampyrus (large flying fox). The record is from RNAcentral. Lineage: Eukaryota; Metazoa; Chordata; Mammalia; Chiroptera; Pteropodidae.